This 497-nucleotide ribosomal RNA is filed under the name uncultured bacterium. RNAcentral's name for it is "partial 16S ribosomal RNA". It matches the Rfam family "Bacterial small subunit ribosomal RNA", at positions 28 to 507 of the family's 1533-position model. The record is from RNAcentral.
GAUGAACGCUGGCGGCGUGCCUAAUACAUGCAAGUCGAGCGAACGGACGAGAAGCUUGCUCCUCUGAUGUUAGCGGCGGACGGGUGAGUAACACGUGGAUAACCUACCUAUAAGACUGGGAUAACUUCGGGAAACCGGAGCUAAUACCGGAUGAUAUUUUGAACCGCAUGGUUCAAAAGUGAAAGACGGUCUUGCUGUCACUUAUAGAUGGAUCCGCGCUGCAUUAGCUAGUUGGUAAGGUAACGGCUUACCAAGGCAACGAUGCAUAGCCGACCUGAGAGGGUGAUAGGCCACACUGGAACUGAGACACGGUCCAGACUACUACGAGAGGCAGCAGUAGGGAAUCUUCCGCAAUGGGCGAGAGCCUGACGGAACAACGCCGCGUGAGUGGUGAAGGUCUUCGGAUCGUAAAACUCUGUUAUUAGGGAAGAACAUAUGUGUAAGUAACUGUGCACAGCUUGACGGUACCUAAUCAGAAAGCCACGGCUAACUACGUG